UCUAACUUUGGUAUUUUGUUGCUUUGAACCCUGCUUUGGAUGCUGCUGUUCUGUCUAGCAACUGUAAAGUUCUGUCCAUUACUUCCAUGUCAUUUUUGUAAUGCUUAGGAGUCCAAACACUUUUCUUACUGCUGCUACUGUCCAGUUCAGUUGCUGCCAAUCACCCUCUUUUGCAUGUGUUUCCCUCCCAUCUAUUAGAUGGACUUAAAACAUGUGGUGUUUGAUAUGGUGUUUGUUAUGGCUCAAUCUGUCCAUUUUUCAUUUAGCCCUUGGCUUAGAUCCUUGUAGCCACUUGGCUUAUUUUCUGUUAGUUUACAGGUGCACCUUCAGCAAAGCGGCGGCGUGUGCGAGGGCCAACACGUGGAAAAAGAAUUAGAAGGAUAAUUGCUGAGAAUAAAGGGGAGAGGAUCUCAGCUUAUGUGACGCCGGAAAUCUAUGGUACAUGGGAGCAGGGUGAUGGUGGCUCAAAUAUAUGAUUGACGCUUAACGGAGUAUCCUGCAGUUCUACUUUUGGUUAUUGACUAUGAAGAUCAAAGUUGGAUUUUGGUUGCGAACGUGCAAAUGUUUUUGGGUUAUCCAAUUGUUGAGGUUGAACUUUUUAGUAUUUUGCAAUCUAGGAGUUUUGAUACAUUUUGUUAUUGAGCUUGGAUUUUUUUUUUUAAUUUCCCCCUCAUGGUGACAUGUCGUUAUUUUACGUUUUAGGAAUUUGGAUAAAAGUUGUUUUCUAAUUACUUGGUGGACAUCUCUAUUUAUGAAAGUUUGGAUUUAUUUUUUGGAA
This is a long non-coding RNA of Rhododendron vialii, 778 nucleotides long. RefSeq lists it as uncharacterized. The record is from RefSeq and is a predicted model, not a curated record. NCBI's taxonomy places the organism in Eukaryota, Viridiplantae, Streptophyta, Magnoliopsida, Ericales, Ericaceae. The transcript is spliced from 2 exons.